This 322-nucleotide ribosomal RNA is filed under the name uncultured eukaryote. RNAcentral describes it as "partial 18S ribosomal RNA". It matches the Rfam family "Eukaryotic small subunit ribosomal RNA", at positions 1470 to 1796 of the family's 1831-position model. The record is from RNAcentral.
CCCUUAGAUGUUCUGGGCCGCACGCGUGCUACACUGAGUGGAUCAGCGGGUCAGGUUGCGCGAAAGCGUUUCCUAAUCUUUAAAUCCGCUCGUGAUGGGGAUUGACGGUUGCAAUUUUAUGUCAUGAACGAGGAAUACCUUGUAAGCGCGGGUCAUCAUCCCGCGCUGAAUACGUCCCUGCCCUUUGUACACACCGCCCGUCGCUCCUACCGAUUGAGUGGUCCGGUGAGGCUUUGGGAUCUGAGCGGAAAGAGCGUUUCGCUGUUUCUGCUCGGAAAACUCAGUCGAACCUUAUCAUUUAGAGGAAGGAGAAGUCGUAACA